This 303-nucleotide ribosomal RNA is filed under the name Palaemon elegans. RNAcentral's name for it is "partial 16S ribosomal RNA". The record is from RNAcentral. Lineage: Eukaryota; Metazoa; Arthropoda; Malacostraca; Decapoda; Palaemonidae.
CUUUUAAUUGAAGGCUUGUAUGAAUGGUUGGAUGAAAGAGAAGCUGUCUCUUUUGCAAUUUAAAACUUGACUUUUAAGUGAAAAGGCUUAAAUUUAAUAAGGGGACGAUAAGACCCUAUAAAACUUUAUGCACGACAUGUCCUGUCUUUGAAUUAUAUCCAAAUAUUGGUUGGCUAAAAGUGCAUUCCGUUGGGGAGACGUUGAUAUAAGCUGUAACUGUCUUAUUAAAUAGAAUAAUUAUUAUUAUAAUUUGAUCCUUCUUUGUGGAUAAAAAGAAUAAGUUACUUUAGGGAUAACAGCGAA